Long non-coding RNA from Ostrea edulis (European flat oyster), 655 nucleotides. RefSeq lists it as uncharacterized. NCBI's taxonomy places the organism in Eukaryota, Metazoa, Mollusca, Bivalvia, Ostreida, Ostreidae. The transcript is spliced from 2 exons. The record is from RefSeq and is a predicted model, not a curated record.
GAAGAUUAAUACGAUCCCUUGUUACACAAACAAAUUUAUCCAUGUGACUUUGAUCUAGGAGAUAUGAUAUUUAUUAGGAACCCCGUCAUAGGCAACCUUCAGACCAAAUCCGGGAUUUCUAAAGUGUCAGGAUUACGGAAUGAUGAUAGGGGCUUCACAAUCACUUCAAAUGAUAGCUAACCAUUUAGAAACUCAUUGAGAUGAUGAGCCAGUCUUUUGAUUUUCAGUUUUGGGAUGUUUAUUACUUUACACAAAUGAUUGAAAUGAAUAUAUUAAUAAAGCGUAUAUGUGUUAUAAUUGUUGUUUUUUACUGACUGUUAAAACUAGCUUGACCACCAGCAUAUAUUGUACGAAAUUUCGUUGCCAUCCACUUGAGAAAUGGGACGUCUUAAACUGACAUUACAACAACUAUAUUUAGAACUCUUCAACCAUAUACAUCUUCCAGAUGCGAGUAAACAUACUGCUCCUUCAACAAAGUUUGGUAGUAAAUCAAGAUAAAUUAUAUGCUUUGUAGAUCUGAAGAUUAAUGUAAAAAUAGCUUAGUAUCCAAGUACUAGGGUUGAAACAGUUUAUUACAUUCAAUUCGAAUUGCAGUUCAAAAUGUGUUUCUUUUAAUACAAUACAUUAUAGUUUGGGGUUUUUCCCCCAUCAGCAA